Molecule: long non-coding RNA, 723 nt
Organism: Ctenopharyngodon idella (grass carp)
Lineage: Eukaryota; Metazoa; Chordata; Actinopteri; Cypriniformes; Xenocyprididae
Exons: 2
Source: RefSeq, a predicted model, not a curated record
GGAGGAACACGGAUGAAGCUGCCAGGCUGCGAGGAUGAGAAGAGAAGCACUGCAGUCGCCGGAGAGAGGAAGAGAGAGAAAGAGAGAGAAAUCGUAAGGGCGCAUGUGUACGCGAGCGCCCGCAUGAGGAGGGCAAAUAUCUGUGCAUGGAAAAGAAGAGGAUAUUCCAGUCUGUGCUUUCCGCUCUCCGUCUCACUGUCUUCCAGGUCAUUUUCUCCACAUGCACUUGAACUCCAAAUCCUGUCUGCCGGCCCCUCCCCCCGACCUCUGUGACUCGCUCUCCUUCGCUCCUUCUGAUGGAGGCUUGAAAUAGUGCUCGCAGGCUGUAAGUGAGAGUGAGAGGGAGGGGAGGACGAGGGGGACAGAAAGGGAGAGAGACGUGGGGGGAAGGGGAGAAGGUUUACACGAACAGAGUCUGUGCUGAGAUUAUGUGUGUGUGUGUGUCAGGCGGAGAGAAAAUGAGAGGAAGAAACCCUGUGCACAUACAUGUGUUCAGUGACUUUCUCAGAAAUUACAGUCAACUGCACAAAACAUUAAUUCUUGGAGCCAGUUUUAAACAGGGGCAUCUAUUGUCUUUGAGGGGCCACCAGUGGCAGUCCUGGCUCACUCGAUACCCUAAGGCGAGAUACGAUAUAAGCAAAUGAAUACACUUUUUAACAACUUAGUAACUCUUUACAUAUGUGCAAGACUUGUAUUUUCUAAAUAAACUGCAACUGAAUUUGA